This 447-nucleotide ribosomal RNA is filed under the name uncultured bacterium. RNAcentral's name for it is "partial 16S ribosomal RNA". It matches the Rfam family "Bacterial small subunit ribosomal RNA", at positions 29 to 523 of the family's 1533-position model. The record is from RNAcentral.
AGCGAACGCUGGCGGCAGGCUUAACACAUGCAAGUCGAACGCCCCGCAAGGGGAGUGGCAGACGGGUGAGUAACGCGUGGGAAUCUACCCAGAUCUUCGGAACAACUGAGGGAAACUUCAGCUAAUACCGGAUACGCCCUACGGGGGAAAGAUUUAUCGGUUCUGGAUGAGCCCGCGUUGGAUUAGCUAGUUGGUGAGGUAAAGGCUCACCAAGGCGACGAUCCAUAGCUGGUCUGAGAGGAUGAUCAGCCACACUGGGACUGAGACACGGCCCAGACUCCUACGGGAGGCAGCAGUGGGGAAUAUUGGACAAUGGGCGAAAGCCUGAUCCAGCCAUGCCGCGUGAGUGAUGAAGGCCUUAGGGUUGUAAAGCUCUUUCAGUGGGGAAGAUAAUGACGGUACCCACAGAAGAAGCCCCGGCUGACUUCGUGCCAGCCGCCGCUGUAA